ACCAUAUGAACCUACCGAUUGAAUGGUCUUGUGAAGUGUUUAGAUUGUGGCGACGUGGGUGGUUCGCUGGCGGCAAAGUUUUGAGAAGUCCACUGAACCUUAUCAUUUAGAGGAAGGAGAAUUUGUGACAAGGUUUCCGUAGGUGAACCUGUGGAAG
This is a ribosomal RNA of Lupinus angustifolius (narrow-leaved blue lupine), 157 nucleotides long. It matches the Rfam family "Eukaryotic small subunit ribosomal RNA", at positions 1668 to 1823 of the family's 1831-position model. NCBI's taxonomy places the organism in Eukaryota, Viridiplantae, Streptophyta, Magnoliopsida, Fabales, Fabaceae. The record is from Rfam.